AUGAAGCUAAAAAUGUGGCAUUAGACAUUCUUAAGCUUUUAGACACUAACUGUGCCAUACGUGUAACUUAUAGGUUUAGCACCCCUGAAGGCCAAUGGCAAACCUGCACUGUUGCAAAAUGAAACAGUCUCUCUCUGUGUUUUGGAAUCUGACAGCAGACCUCUUUGGACCAGCAGAUUAAGUCAUGGAGUUCUUUGUAAAGAUAAGAUGACAUCCACCCAAAUCAGAGAACCAAAGAUAUUUCUGAUCAGACAACCAGUGAACCUCAUUUCACCUCCAAUCUUCAUGGAAAAGGUCCAAACUGUGUGCAUCAGUUCUUAGUCUUCAUCCCCUGCCGGCCUGCUCUCCAGCAUGACGUCUCUUACAAGUACCAAAGCUCUAGGCUCUUACUCACAUUCUCCUGGACCUCUGGGGUACAGUCUGCAAAGCCCACUGAAUCAAACCCCUACAGAUCCAUGCUACCUCCCCUUCAGCUCUCAAACCAACCAAAGAGUUCAACUGAGUUCCUGCAGUUCCUCGCUUCCAGAUUCUUG
Long non-coding RNA from Cyprinodon tularosa, 533 nucleotides. RefSeq lists it as uncharacterized. The transcript has 3 exons. The record is from RefSeq and is a predicted model, not a curated record. Lineage: Eukaryota; Metazoa; Chordata; Actinopteri; Cyprinodontiformes; Cyprinodontidae.